GAUGAUCUCCGCUGUCUGAUUCCUGUUUCCUAGAUUCUCACACUAGAUGAGGAGCCUGUUUUUCAGCUAGCUGCUGCAAGGGAGCUGGAAAUUUCUCCCUUCAGAUAGGACCUAGAAGGUCUGAAAGCAUCUGGAGAAGGGCGCGGCUGGGAAUCGAGAAACAGGCUACAGACUGAAGCAGGAGGAAGCGAGAGAGGAAGACUCAUGGAAAGCCUUGCUGCGCUCGCCAAAAGAGCGGCCCUCGCACUCGAGAGGGCCAUGUUUAAUGCCUACCUGAAGAAAGGUAGUAACCUCUGCAGCACUUGUGGCUUGGGGUGAAAACGCGCCUGGCGUGAAGGAAGAAUCUUUGCUCUUCCCAGAGGGGUGCUGACUGGAAAUGAGCAAGUAGAUGGGGUCCCAAAGAGCCACAGAACGAGGCCCUAUGCAGGUGGCGGGACAGACUGCCCCAAAAGCCCCCUAAGAAGUUGGCCCUGGGGCAUAAGAGGAAGGCAGGGUGAAGAGCAGGAGUGAAAGCUGCUUCAACACUUUGGAGCAGGAAGGAAAGCAAGCAAGAUACAGUUGGAAGAGGGCGAAGCGGGCAACCUAAGGGACAGAGUGCAGGGUUUGACCUUCAACUUGGGGUCUCCUCCAUUGGCAGGUUUUGGGGGUGGCAUUGUUGCGUCUCCACUGAUCCUUCCCUUGGGUGGGGCUGUUGACUGGCGUCGCGGCCUGUCAGCUUGUGGGCGGGGGGUGUGACAGCCGCAAUGCCAUAUCUGGAGGCUUAGGUGUGCUCACUUGAGGUGUACAUCCUCUACCCAUCGAGUGUUCCCAGAGGAAGGGGACAGAGCUGCUCAACCCCGCCAGUGUGGCUGUCAGGGGGUCCUGUGUGAGCCCACAUGCCUGACUCCUGGGAUCUUGGAGGCUGCUGAUGUCCACCUUCCUGCGCUUCCGUCCAUUGGGAGCCUGCCCUUCCUUGGCACUGGCUGGCCGUGAGCGGUUUUCCUCCAUAGAUAGGGUUCAAGAACCACGCGACAGUCACCUCAUGGUCGUCUGACAUUCCUGAUGGAGGUAGGGAGAACCCCUGGUACCAUGCUCACGUCAGACCAGCUACCGUGAGUGACAGGAACGUCUGACAGGAUUGCAUGUUUGGCAGAAGAAACACCUGCCAGAUCAGACGUGAACGUGUGGCAGAAGGCCCAUCCAGGAAGAUUGCACACUGGGAAGAAGGAAGACCUGAGAACGUUGGACGGACAGCAGAAGGAGCGCCUCGGGAGAUUGCCCGGUGGGGUGGCGGUAACAUCUGACAGGAUUGCGGGGUGGGCGGGAGGAUGAGCUGGGAAGGAUGCAAGGCCUGGGGAGGUAACAUAUGAAGACGAUUAAAUAUGUGGCAGGAGAAACACCUGAGAAGAUGGGAUGCUUGCCAGGGGAAACAAGGGACGGAGUGGAGUGUUUGGGAGAAGGGAUGCUUAGGUAGAUUGCACGUGUGGCCAAAGGUACACAUGAGAAGGGUGAAUGGCGGACAGCAGAAACGUUGCAGCCGAUGGCACGGCAGUGGGGAGGAAAACGUAGGAAGCAUGGAAGUGCAUGGCUUGCUAAAGAAGCAUCUGAAGACGUGGCAUGUCUGGGAGAGGACACGUCGGGCAAGAUUCCACGUUUGGCAGUGGGCCCAUGAGUGGAGGCAGAUGCGUAUGGGCCUGCGGCAGUCUCGGUUCCUGCCUCCUGAGAAGAAAGUCAUCAACCGAGGGGCACAAGGCAGAGGGAGAGACCGAAGCACGCAUAAGAGCAGAGGCGAAAGUUCCUGAAACGGUAUGGUGGCAGGAGCCAAAGGAAGUCAAGGAGGCUUGGAAGAGGCCCAGGUGGGCAGGGGAGCCCCGUUCAUCCCCGGGGUCCCAGAGUGAAGCUGUGUUACCAUGUACCCCUGCCCUUGCCUUCCUCCCUGCUCUAAUGGCCGUGUGUUAGCCAGAGAUCAGUUUCGGUCUGGGUGCUAUGGGUCUGUUGUGCCUGUGGCCUUGGUCCGGCCUCUGUCCUUGUCUCUGUGAAAUGAGAGUGACUGUGCCUGAGAGCGUUCCAGCAGGACAAUGAUGAUCACUGUCUGAUUCCGGCUUCCCAGGUUCUCACAGUAGACGAGGAGCCUGUUUUUCAGCUAGCUGCCGGGAAGGGGCUGGAAAUUUCUCCCUUCAGAGUGGACCUGGAAGGCUUGGAAGCAUCUGGAGAAGGGCGUGGCCACGAGUAGAGAAAUCGAGGCUACAGGCAGAAGUGGGAGGAAGCGAGAGAGGAAGACUCAUGGAAAGCCUUGCUGCACUCGCCAAAAGAGCUGCCCUCGGACUCAAGAGGGCCACGUUCAAUGCCAACCUGACAUAAGGUAGUCACCUUUGGAGCACUCGUGGCCUGGGGCAAAAACAGAGUUGGAUUGAAGGAAGAGUAUUCUCUGUUCCCAGAGGGGCACUGACUGGAAAUGAGCAUGAAGGUGGGGUCCCUAACGGGCCACAGAACGAGGCCCUAUGCAGGUGUCGGUACAGACUGCCCCAAAAGCCCCCUGAGAAGUUGGUCCUGGGGCGUAAGAGGAAGGCACAGUGAAGAGCAGGAGUGAAAGCUGCUUCAGCACUUUGGAGCGGGAAGGAAAGGAAGCGAGAUACAGUUGGAAGAGGGCGAAGCGGGCAACCUGAGGGAUGGAGUGCAGGGUUUGACCUUCGAUUCUGGAUCUCCUCCAUUAGCAGGCUUCCGGGGUGGCGUUGUUGCCUCUCUGCCGAUCCUUCCUUUGGGUGGGGCUGUCGACUGGCGCCACGGCCUGUGAGACCGUGGGCGGGGGUCGUUGCAGGCACAGUGCGGUUCCUAGAGUCUUAGGCAUGCUCACUUGAGGCGUUCUUCCCCUACCCGUCGACUGAUCUCAGAGGAAAGAGACUGAGCUGCUGAAGCCUGCCGGUGUGGCUGUCGGUGUCCCGCGUUAGCCCAUGUGCCCGACUCUUGGGAUCUUACAGGGAGGCUACUGAUGUCCACCUUCCAGUGCUUCCGUCCAUUGGGAGCCUGCCCUUCCUUGGCGCCGGCCGGCCGUGAGCGGUUAUCCUCCAUAGAUAGGGUUCAAGAACCGCCCAACCAUCACCUCAUGGUCACCUGACAUUCCUGGUGGUGGUAGGGGGACCCCCUGGUUCCAUGCUCACAUCAGACCAGCUACCUCGAGUGGCAGGAACGUCUGACAGGAUUGCACAUGUGGCAGAGGAGCAUCUGAGAAGGAUGAAGGUUUGGCAGGAGAAACACCUACCAGAUCAGAUGUGAAUGUGUGGCAGAAGGCCCAUCUGGGAAGAUUGCACACUGGGCAGAAGGAAGAGCUAAGAACGUUGUACAGACAGCAGAAGGAGUGCCUCUGGAGAUUGCCCGGUGGGCGGUGGUAGCGUCUGAGAGGAUUGCGGGGUGGCAGGGAGGAUGAGCUGGGAAGGAUGCAAGGCCUGGGGAGGCAACACGUGAAGACGAUUAAAUAUGUGGCAGGAGAAACACCUGAGAAGAUGGGAUGCUUGGCAAGGGGAACAAAGCACAGAGCGGAGUGUUGGGGAGAAGAGACGCUUAGGGAGAUUGCAUGUGUGGCAGAAGGAACACGUGAGAAGGUUGCCAUGGUGGACAGCAGAAAAAUUGCAGCCGAUGGCACAGCGGUGGGGAGGAAAACAUAGGAAGCUUGCAAGUGCGUGGCCUGCGAAAGAAGCAUCUGAAGAGAUGGCAUGUCUGGCAGAGGACACGUUGGGCAAGAUUCCACAUUUGGCAGCAGGCCUGUGAGCGGCGGCAUAUGCGUAUGGGCCUGUGGUAACUCAGUUCCUGCCUCCUGAGAAGAAAGACAUCGAGUGGCACACGGUAGAGUGAGAGACCGAGGCACGCAUUAGAGCAGGGGUGAAAGUUCCUGAAACGGUAUCGUGGCAGGAGCCAAAGGAAGUCAAGGAGGCUUGGAAGAGGCCCAGGUGGGCGGUGACCUGAGAGGUGGAGUACGGGACUGGACCUUGGACUCAGGGUCUCCCGCGUCGGCAGCAUCGCUGCCUGUCCUCUGAUGCUUCCCUUGGCGGGGAAGAGGGGGCUGUUCACUAGCACAGUGGCCUGUCACCACCUCAUGGGGGCGCGGAGGCGCCGUGUGCUUACUAGAGUUGUUCUCAUGCUCUCCUGAGGCGUUCUUCCCACAAGCAGACGAAUGUGCCCAGGGGAAAACAUCCUAGAUCAGUGAACCUUCCGCCAGUUUGCCUCUCAGGGCGCAUGUGUGAGCCCAUUCACCCAACUCCCGAGGUGUGCUGGGGAGGCUUCUGAGGUUCGUGACUGCUGUGGGGGAGGGGGACUGCCUUUCCCUGGCGCUGCCUGUGAUCAGUGAUUUCUCUAGAGAGUCUGCUUCGUGACCACCGGGCCAUCACCUUGCGGCUGCCUGAUGUUUACUGGCGGUGGGGAACCCUCUCGGGCCCCGCUCCACACAUGUGACUGAGAGGGACACCUGACGGGAUUGAACGCGUGGCAGAUCAUCCGACGAGAUGGAGUGUCUGGUGGAAGGAACAUCUGACAGCCCUGAGCAUGUGGCAGAGGGAACAUCUAAGCAGACUGCAGCGAUUUCAGAAGGAACGGCUAAGAACGUCGCAUGGUCAGCAGGAGGAAACCUUAGGGUAGGGUGGUUGCAGGGGGUUGGGGGGCAAGGGAACCCGUGAGAAGACUGCGGGAUCAGCAGUUGGAUGCCCUAGGGAGAUUGCAAGGCCUGCCCAAGAGACAUCUGGGUAGAGGAAGUAUUGGGCCCAUGGUGCGCCAGACAAAACUGAGUGCUUGUCAGGGGAAGAAGUGGACGCAACUGGCUGUUUGGCAGAAGGAACCCUCAGGUAGAUUGCACGUUUGGCAGAAGGCCCAAGUGCGAAGAUGACAUGGUAGACAGCAGAAACCCUUUAGCAGGUCGCACGGUGGGCAGAAGGAACCUCUGAGCAGAUUCCAUGGUGGGCAGACGGAAUGCCUAGGAAGAGUGCGUGGCUUGCAAAGGAAGCAUCUGGAAAGAGGGAACAUCUGGGAGAGAAAACAUCCACCAAGAUGGAGCGUUUGGCGGUAGGGAUGUCAGCGGUGGCAGAUCCAUAGGGGCCUGCACGCAGCAACCCGAGCUCUCGCCUCAUCAGAGGGAGUUUAACUGAGGGGCGUGAGGCAGGGUGAAAGAGACCGAGGCCACUUUGAGCGCAGGAGUGCAGGUCUCCCAGACAGUACCAGAGCAGAAAGACGAGGCAGUAAGGUAUACUUGGAAGAGGGCCAUGUGGGCAACUGGAGAGGUCAGGGGCACGCUUUGUUUGACCUUUGAGGCGAGGUCUCACAGAUUGGCAGGCUUCCAAGUGCCAGGGGUUGCAUUGCUUCCUCCUCUGAGCCUUUUCGCAGGGUGGGCCAUCCACAUGGGCAGUGGCCUGUCGUCACCUGGGAAGGACCGCAGGCGUGGCCUGUUUCCUGGAGUCAUAGGGGCGCUCACAUGAGGCGUGCCUCCCUUGGCAGUCGGCUGUUGCCUGGGGAGGGUCAUAGGACAGUAAAACCCGGCCGGUUUGCCUGUGAGUGUGCAAGCGUGAGCCCCCUCACCCGCCCCCUGAGAUCUUCUCAGGGAGCUGCUAAUCGCCACCUUCCGGGGUUUCUCUCUGUCUGGGGGACCGCCCGUCCCUGGCACCGGCUCCCGGCAAUCAUUUGUUAUUUGAGACAGGUAGUUUAAUGGCAGCCUGACCCAUCACCUCCUGGUCGCCUGAUGUGUCUGGUGGGGUGUGGGCGUGGCCCUCUCCUGCGCUGCUCCUGUGUGACCAGCCGCCCACGGUAACACAGAAACAUCUAGCAGGAUGGAGUGGUUGGCGGAAGACACAUCUGACGAGAUGGAAUGUUUUGCAGAAGAGCCAUGUGACCGGAUCCCUGGUUUGGCAGAGGAGACAUGCGAGAAGACGGAGCUUUUUGUCCGAACAGACAUCUGGCAGGGUGGAACGGAGAGAACAGGUAUGGUGGAGAGAACGUCUGAGAAGGUCGCAGGAUUCGCAGGAGCAUCGGGAAAAGAUUGCCUGUUUGCCCGAAGGAAUGGCAAGUUCCAAAGGUCAGAGGCUCGCGUGAACUCUGUCGGGUUCAGGAGCAGCUCAGUGUUGCUGCUGGCAAGAGUGUGGUACGGGAAUGGUUGGGUGUGGUUUGAAUGUCUAGAAAAGGCGAGCUGAGGGUAUAUUUUUGAGCAGUCCAGAGCAGAAGGGGUAGAGGAUGUAUUCUGUGGGCCACGGCCACAUUCUCAGGAUGCUCGUGGCUGUAAAUAGUAGAUGACCCAAGUAAGAGCGGCUGAAACCAUAGGCACCAGAAUUGUGGCAGCAUCGUCGUGUCAUGCUCACGUUUUCCCUUCCAGCUGUGCUGUGGGCAGUGUUUAGUUCAUGUCUGCUUUGCUGGCGGGCCGAGUAGCAACAGCUGCAGUUGGUGUGUUCUCUGAAGGCAGUAUCUGAAAGCUGGAGGGGUUGCUUUUCUUCCCAGGUGUCUUUUGAAGAGGCAGUCAAGUCAGCAGCUCGCAGUGACCUUCUGGUAACAUCGUAUGGGCUGGGUUACAGCACAUGCCGACUGCUAAGCCGGUCACUGGGGAAAACCAUGUGAUUGCUGUGAUGAGCUUAGAAUGAUCAUUCCUCCUUCGGGAGCUGGGGUGGGUUGAGGGAAUGACAAAGAUCCCAAUAACCUUGCAUUUCUCCAGCGAGAAAGAAGAAAGAAAUUCCGUGGAUAGGGAGCCCGCCAGGUUUCCUGCAGAAAAUCAUGGGAAGCUUUUGAGCAGGGGAGUCAGAAGAUGAGCGAUCCCGUUUCAGGAAUGUUUCUGGUGGCUUACAAGGACCGUCUCCAGCAUGCUUAGGCUCUCUUAACUUUCCUAGGAUCCUGAGUAGGGUAUCCGCCAUUCGUCCUUAGGGCUCCGGGAUGUCUCGUUCUUACCGUGUCCCUGCCAACCCUGGUCCCAUCUCGUCAUGCUCACCCACUGCAGAAGAGAGGAGGUGCUAGAAUGAACAGGGUCAGGGGAGCCCUGUUCAUCCCCAGGGUCCCAGAAUGAAGCAGUGUUACCAUGUACCCCUGCCCUUGCCUUCCUCCCUGCUCUAAUGGCCGUGUGUUAGCCAGAGAUCAGUUUUGGUCUGGGUGCUAUGGGUCUGUUGCGCCUGUGGCCUUGGUCCAGCCUCUGUCCUUGUCUCUGUGAAAUGAGAGUGAGUGUGCCUGAGAGCGUUCCAGCAAGACAAUGAUGAUCUCCACUGUCUGAUUCCGGCUUCCCAGGUUCUCACAGUAGACGAGGAGCCUGUUUUUCAGCUAGCUGCGGCAAGGGGGCUGGAAAUUUCUCCCUUCAGAGUGGACCUGGAAGGCUUGGAAGCAUCUGGAGAAGGGCGUGGCCACAAGUAGAGAAAUCGAGGCUACAGGCAGAAGUGGGAGGAAGCGAGAGAGGAAGACUCAUGGAAAGCCUUGCUGCAACUCGCCAAAAGAGCUGCCCUCGGACUCAAGAGGGCCACGUUCAAUGCCAACCUGACAUAAGGUAGUCACCUCUGGAGCACUGGUGGCCUGGGGGAAAAACACAGUUGGAUUGAAGGAAGAGUCUUGUCUGUUCCCAGAGGGGCACUGACUGGAAAUGAGCAUGAAGGUGGGGUCCCUAAAGGGCCACAGAACGAGGCCCUGUGCAGGUGUUGGUACAGACUGCCCCAAAAGCCCCCUGAGAAGUUGGUCCUGGGGCGUAAGAGGAAGGCACAGUGAAGACCAGGAGUGAAAGCUGCUUCAGCACUUUGGAGCAGGAAGGAAAGGAAGCGAGAUACAGUUGGAAGAGGGUGAAGCGGGCAACCUGAGGGAUGGAGUGCAGGGUUUGACCUUCGAUUCUGGAUCUCCUCCAUUAGCAGGCUUCCGGGGUGGCGUUGUUGCCUCUCUGCCGAUCCUUCCUUUGGAUGGGGCUGUCGACUGGCGCCACGGCCUGUGAGACCGUGGGCGGGGGUCGUUGCAGGCACAGUGUGGUUCCUAGAGUCUUAGGCAUGCUCACUUGAGGCGUUCUUCCCCUACCUCUCAACUGAUCUCGGAGGAAGGAGACUGAGCUGCUCAAGCCUGCCGGUGUGGCUGUCAGGGUGUCCCGCGUUAGCUCAUGUGCCCGACUCCUGGGAUCUUACAGGGAGGCUGCUGAUGUCCACCUUCCAGUGCUUCCGUCCAUUGGGAGCCUGCCCUUCCUUGGCGCCGGCCGGCCGUGAGCGGUUAUCCUCCAUAGAUAGGGUUCAAGAACCGCCCAACCAUCACCUCAUGGUCACCUGACAUGCUCACAUCAGACCAGCUACCUCGAGUGGCAGGAACGUCUGACAGGAUUGCACAUGUGGCAGAGGAGCAUCCGAGAAGGAUGAAGGUUUGGCAGGAGAAACACCUACCAGAUCAGAUGUGAAUGUGUGGCAGAAGGCCCAUCUGGGAAGAUUGCACACUGGGCAGAAGGAAGAGCUAAGAACGUUGUACAGACAGCAGAAGGAGUGCCUCUGGAGAUUGCCCGGUGGGCGGUGGUAGCGUCUGAGAGGAUUGCGGGGUGGCAGGGAGGAUGAGCUGGGAAGGAUGCAAGGCCUGGGGAGGCAACGCUA
RNAcentral lists this long non-coding RNA (8537 nucleotides) under Pan troglodytes (chimpanzee). Its description in RNAcentral is "long non-coding RNA NONPTRT016713". The record is from RNAcentral. Lineage: Eukaryota; Metazoa; Chordata; Mammalia; Primates; Hominidae.